This 95-nucleotide transfer RNA is filed under the name Streptomyces fradiae. RNAcentral's name for it is "tRNA-Ala". The record is from RNAcentral. Lineage: Bacteria; Bacillati; Actinomycetota; Actinomycetes; Kitasatosporales; Streptomycetaceae.
GCGGCUCUCGGGGCGGUGGGGCCUUCCCCGCUCGCGACGGCGUCCGUGGCGGUGCGGCAAGCGGCGGUGCCGGCUCCGUGCCCGGUGGCGCCGCU